UAAAAAAAAAAAAAAAAAAUUUUAAUUGUUAGAUUACGAGUUGCUAUAUUACUACCAACAGAGUAGUGAAGUAGUACUCUAAGGCGCCACAGCCCCACAGACUCACCCACCCUUAUAUACUAGUGUUCUACCAGUUUUAGGGGGAAUCAAAAUGUUUAUUUUGAGAUGCACAUUUCUCAUGCUUUUCUUGUGCAUGUGCAUUACACUUUGCUAGUUUUGGCUUGAAACUUACCUUGUCAUUUCUUUUAUCAUUGCCUCCAG
This 261-nucleotide unclassified non-coding RNA is filed under the name Hevea brasiliensis (rubber tree). Lineage: Eukaryota; Viridiplantae; Streptophyta; Magnoliopsida; Malpighiales; Euphorbiaceae. The record is from RNAcentral.